This 128-nucleotide ribosomal RNA is filed under the name uncultured eukaryote. Its description in RNAcentral is "partial small subunit ribosomal RNA". It matches the Rfam family "Eukaryotic small subunit ribosomal RNA", at positions 1651 to 1781 of the family's 1831-position model. The record is from RNAcentral.
CCCUGCCAUUUGUACACACCGCCCGUCGCUCCUACCGAUUGAAUGGUCCGGUGAAAUCUUCGGAUUGCUGGAUAGGAGGGCAACCACCUAUCUGCGAGAAGUUGCUUGAACCUUAUCAUUUAGAGGAA